AGUCGUAACAAGGUUUCCGUAGGUGAACCUGCGGAAGGAUCAUUGUCGAAACCUGCCCAGCAGAACGACCCGCGAACUUGUUCCAUACCCGAGAGGGGCCACGGCGGCGUGUGCCUCGUGACCCCCUCCCAUCUCGUCGGGGCGAGAGCCCCAGCGCUCGCUCCGGCGGUCGAACAACGAACCCGGCGCGGAUUGCGCCAAGGAAACGGACGAGAGAGCUCGCCCCCGUCGCCCCGGGAACGGAGCGCGCGUCGGGAGCGGUGCGUUCUUUCAUUACACAUAACGACUCUCGGCAACGGAUAUCUCGGCUCUCGCAUCGAUGAAGAACGCAGCGAAAUGCGAUACUUGGUGUGAAUUGCAGAAUCCCGUGAACCAUCGAGUCUUUGAACGCAAGUUGCGCCCUAAGCCUUUAGGCCGAGGGCACGUCUGCCUGGGUGUCACACAUCGUUGCCCCCUCAACCCCAUGCCUCAAACGAGGCACGGGACGUGGUGCGGGCGGAUAUUGGCCUCCCGUGGGACGCUACCUCGCGGUUGGCCCAAACACGAGUCCUCGGCAACGGACGCCGCGACGUUCGGUGGUGGAAAACGCAAGAAACCCUCGAGCUCGCGUCGCGGGUGCGUCGCCGGUACAGGGCUCCCGACCCUGAAGCGUCACGAUAGAGACGCACGCA
RNAcentral lists this ribosomal RNA (671 nucleotides) under Deinbollia maxima. RNAcentral's name for it is "eukaryotic LSU rRNA". The stretch from base 285 to 440 matches the Rfam family "5.8S ribosomal RNA". The record is from RNAcentral. Lineage: Eukaryota; Viridiplantae; Streptophyta; Magnoliopsida; Sapindales; Sapindaceae.